This 318-nucleotide ribosomal RNA is filed under the name uncultured soil bacterium. RNAcentral describes it as "bacterial SSU rRNA". It matches the Rfam family "Bacterial small subunit ribosomal RNA", at positions 26 to 341 of the family's 1533-position model. The record is from RNAcentral.
AGAUUGAACGCUGGCGGCAGGCCUAACACAUGCAAGUCGAGCGGCAGCACGGGUACUUGUACCUGGUGGCGAGCGGCGGACGGGUGAGUAAUGCCUAGGAAUCUGCCUGAUAGUGGGGGAUAACGCUCGGAAACGGACGCUAAUACCGCAUACGUCCUACGGGAGAAAGCAGGGGACCUUCGGGCCUUGCGCUAUCAGAUGAGCCUAGGUCGGAUUAGCUUAGGUUGGUGGGGUAAUGGCUCACCAAGGCGACGAUCCGUAACUGGUCUGAGAGGAUGAUCAGUCACACUGGAACUGAGACACGGUCCAGACCUCCUA